AUGAUCGGCACUGUUGAACAUAAUCUAUACUACUUGAAGUGUUUAGAAAUCAAAUUUAAAAUCUUUUCGACAUCAUUUGCCUAAUGAUCAAAGGGUUUCAAAAUUUCUAAUUUUAAUGGUCGAUAUGAGACGUUUUCUUGUUUAACGGCGUAAAAAUAUCCAAAUCAAUUGAAUUUUUAUUAAAAAAUUCUUUAAACUAUUUAAAACAAGAUCUAUACUCUUGAUCUUGAUUAUAAGACUCUCAUCAUUUUUUAAAGAAUAUUCAUUUUCAGCCGUUCAUUUUUGUAUCCAUUCGAUGAAUAAGAGAACAAUAUCGAAAAUAUAUAAAAUUUGAUUUCUAAAUACUUCAAAUGAUAU
RNAcentral lists this long non-coding RNA (357 nucleotides) under Ananas comosus (pineapple). RNAcentral describes it as "long non-coding RNA (ACOM_LNC033735)". Lineage: Eukaryota; Viridiplantae; Streptophyta; Magnoliopsida; Poales; Bromeliaceae. The record is from RNAcentral.